AACCAACUUAGGUGCUGAAACAAGUCCCAAGCACCGAAUAAACCCCCAUCUUUAGGGGGGCUUACAUAUAUACAUGUGUGUGACUGUCUGUACAUGGAAAGAGAGAUGGAGGAGCUGAAAAUGAUGAAACGAAGUGUUUUUGCCUCUCAAAGUUCGGAUGUGGUGGUGCUCUCUCUCCAGAAAUGUACUUUUCCUCGUUGAUUAUCCAUUUGCUAGCGACAAUUUAAGGGCUUCCUUUCAUUCCCAAACUGGUCAACAUCAUAAACCACACAGUACGAGUAGUCGAACCCAAUUCAUGAAGUCUGCGAAAUCAAAAUGGAUUUGAUUUCACUAACCUUGACGAUGCACCCUCACUGUUCGAUCAAAUGUCUCAAAUGCGACCUCUUCCUUCAGUUGUGCAUUUUAAUAAAUUGUUAGGGGCCAUUGUGAGAAUGAAACAUUACACCACUGCAAUUUCUUUACUUGAGCAAAUGGAGUCCUCAGAAAUAGCUGAGCCAGACGCUCAUACUCUAGGCAUCAUGAUGUUACUGCCAUUUGAAUCGGGUCGAUUUGGGUUUGUCUGUUCUGGCUCGAACAUUGGUUAUGACGUGAGCUGUACAAAUGCUCACCACUCUGAUGAGGGGACUCUGUCGCCAUGAUAAACUAGGUCAGGGAGUAGAGUUGUUUAAUUACAUGGUGGCAAAAGGAUUUAACUUAAUACAGUUACUUGUGGAAUGAUUUUAAAUGGGUUGUGCAAAACGGGGUACACCAGGCGGCUAUUGAGUUGGUUAAGAAGAUGGAAGAGAGAAAUUGGGAAAGCAAUGUCAUUGUUUAUAGCAUGAUCAUUGACAGUCUUUGUAAGGACAGAUUGGUUACAGAAGCUAUAACAUAUUGAUUAAUGGAAGAGAGUGGUUGCUCACCCAAUGGUUUCACUUGCAUUAUAGUUGUCCAGGGAUUUCUUCGAAACAAUGAGACUUUAAGGCAAUACAACUUUUUCAAGAAAUGGUUGAGAAGGGAUUCUAUGCUGAUGAUGCAUGUACUAUAACCCUAUUAUUGAAUUUAUCAAAUAAUAGUGGAUUGGAUCAGUCAGUGUUGGAGAUGCUCAAAAAGUUUAUGUGAUCUCUAUUGGGUUUUCUCAUGUUGGGUAGAAGUUUCACAUUUUGUUGGCCUUGCAGUGUGAUGCAUGCAUGACUUAUUGAUUCUUGCAUCAGUGUCUUCUUCAUGUUUUGGGGGUGAAAUUAUUGUUCCAUGAGAAGUAUGAACUACGAAGGAGAGAACCUGAGUUUCAAGAAUGGCACCUCAUCAACUUCAUUUUCCUUUCUUGUUUACACUUUGUACGAUGACGGUACGCCAUUCCCUCCCUACCUAUGUACUAAUUGCUUUAUGUUAAUAAUAGAACCAUCCCAUUAAGGAGGAAGAAAAAAAAAGCACCUUUUUCGAAUCCAUCAGACCUUUCAGAGAUUAUUUUCUGUGGAGAAGCAGAAGAAAUUGUUUUGAAUUUUCAGAUGCACCCUUUCCUUUAUAUUCAAUUGUUUAUAUAAGUUGCUAUUCGCACAGCCAGAAUAUUUGAUUCCAUUAUCUCAGCUUGCCCCCGAAGUAACGCUUUGGGUUGUGAACAUUUGGAAGAGUUGGUGCCUCCUUUGGUCUGUAAGAUCUUUCUUGACAAAAUACUAUAGGCUCAUGGGACAGCGUCAAUUGAAUUGGGGUGAUUUCAUAGCUAGAUUCUUGAAUAGGUUUCGAAUAUUAAUUAUGAUGUGAAUGUGAUAAUGUUUCUAUGGGGAAGCGUAAUCCAGGAUUGGCACUCAAUAUGUUGAGCAGUUCAAAUGGUCAUGUUUUGUGCUUCAUCUCUUGCAACCUAACUCAUUGUUGAACUACUUUUUCUUUCUUUAAAUUAUAAUCGGGUGCCUUGUUAAAAUUCAAAUGCAGGGUGAUAUUAAUUUUUUGUGGGAAGUACAAAUGAGAGAAACUGAGUUGGGAGGUGUUAGGGAAUGCUGGUGGGAAUUGGAUGAAACUGCUUGACAAGAUGGGAUAUAAAGAAUGUGGCUUGGUGAAAACAAGCAAGGGAUUGUUUCUCUGAUCAAAUCAAAGUUGCUCCUGAAGUAUAUGGGAAUUAGUUUCAAUGAUCAAGUUUGAGUUGGCGAUCAGAACGUAUAUGGGCAGAAUUUAUAGAAGGGUCUCUACUAGGCCUUUAUCCUCUUUUAGGUUCAUUACGCUUCUUAUUGGUUGGAAUUUCCAGUUACCUUGGUAGAAAUUUUAUGUAUUUUUUCAAAAAGACACAAGUUACAAUGCUCUGAAACUUGCCAUACAAGGAGUGAUCAUUUGCUCUUCUGCCUUUGUUUAUCAGUGGUCCAUUUCAAUCCAUCUGCUCUUUCCAUCAACCUCUUGCUUCUAUUGCUUCCUUCGCACUUUUUCAUGAGCUUUCAAAUUUCUGUUGGUGAUUCACUCUAUUUAUCCAUCUCUUCAAAAGGAUCUUUGAGGUACUCUUUCCCCCCCUCUCUCUCUCUAGAUAUAUAUAUAUAUAGUGUGUGUGUGUGAUAUAUAUAUAUAUAUAUAUAUAUAUAUAUAUAUAUAUAUAUAUAUAUAACUAAUCAUCCUAGAAAUAUUUCAGCUUUUUGACCUCCUUAAUGCUGCAAGAAGGACUCAAUGGAAAAAUGAUGCUUGUCCAAUUGAGAUAAUUCUAAAAAUAAUUAUUGAACUAUAUAAACAUUUUGAAUAUGAAAAAUAUUACUAUUUGAGCAUCUUUUAUAGUUAAAAAAACAAAAUUAUAUAUACUAUGGAUUGUUCUCUAAUGCUUGCUCUAUUCUGUUUUUUCUUUUUUCAUUUUUUUUUUGGGGGGGCAAAUGCUUUUUCCUCGGGGAAUAAAAAUGGAAAGUAUUAUGUAAAAAUUUGUUUUGUCUGCCCAACUAUAUAUGAAAUAACUUAACAUUACCAUUUCAUUUUCUUGUUAGAAAGAUAUUCUGCAAUUAGGGAGUGAAAAUGAUUGCAAAUUUUGCUGGUUCUGUUGAUCAUAUGAAUUUAUCUAAUAGUCAGAGCUGUUUACUGUUUUGGGCCCUAUUUCUCGGUAAGGGUACUUGGCUUUUGUUCAUACUGAGAAAAAACAAAACUCAUCCAGCGGUACUGUCCUCUGAUGGCUUAACUAGGGAAGCAAAAGAGACUGAUACAGAGAUUUCGAACACCUGCUUUCAUAGUUGGUUCGUAAGAAUUUGCUGCUUUUAUCGUGUUGGUUGCUGGAUGCUCUUUCUCUUAGGCGCAUGAUUUUGUUCCAAGCCCUUUGUUAUGGUGUCCGGUGUUAACUGCACUAGAACCUCUAACAAAUCUGUCCUUAUGGAGCAUCCUCCCCCAGCUGAGGGUGCUUCAGAUGGUGUUGAUGGGUCGACAACUCUACCAAUCUAGUCAUGUCAGGGAAAAGAUGAUUGCACAGUUGCACUGCCUCAAAUGUCUGCUUCUGAGGGUGCUGGCCCGGUUAAUGGAAUUGCUAAUUUUCGCCCCAUUCUUGGCAAGAAGGAAGGAUGUGAAUGUUACGGUGCAAAGCGCACUCAAUCAAGUCACUGUAGUCGGGCAGAAAUGGAGGCAGCUAAUAAAGAGCUGAUGAUGAGAGCUCAGAACAACUGAAAACAUAGCUUGAGAGGCAUUACAAAGAGAGAAGGAUUUGAAGGAAUUUUGUGAGGCACACACACAUGGCCACAAAAUUGAUUCAUUACAAAACAAAACAUUGCUACCAUAAGACCCCAAUAACCUGAGACACACACAUAUGGCCACAAAAUAUUUUUGUUUUGUAAAGACUCAAUAUGUAAUGAAUCUCAUAUUUCCAAUCUAUUCUAUUUAAUG
This is a long non-coding RNA of Cornus florida, 3807 nucleotides long. RefSeq lists it as uncharacterized. NCBI's taxonomy places the organism in Eukaryota, Viridiplantae, Streptophyta, Magnoliopsida, Cornales, Cornaceae. The record is from RefSeq and is a predicted model, not a curated record. The transcript has 3 exons.